Molecule: long non-coding RNA, 1225 nt
Filed under: Canis lupus familiaris (dog)
Lineage: Eukaryota; Metazoa; Chordata; Mammalia; Carnivora; Canidae
Description: lncRNA (ENSCAFG00845028462.1)
Source: RNAcentral
UACAAAGCCUACUCGUCUGGGACCUUCAAGGUUGCAGAGGGGGAAAAAAGAACUGUGACUGUAACAUCUGAGCGGGCAGAGAACACCAGUGUCACCCUGGAGAGCUUCCCUGUUAGGAUUUGUGCCCCCAUCUCACUGUGGGCAUCCUGGCAAUAAUCCAAGCUGGUCGGGCUCUCCUAGGAUGCCUGUGUCCACAUCUAAGUCCCCAUGCCACCGGACAGCGAGGCAGUCUGGACCCACAGCCCAGGACCCUUCAGGUUCCCUGAAUCCCAUUCGGAACGCAUGUCUACGCAGGAAAGAUGAAAACACAGAGGGGGAGAGCAGGCUCCUGCAGCCCCCGACCCUGGCCGCGAGGAGUAACGAGAAGCAGCCCUUGCCCGGUUUCCAAUGUGACAUUUCUAGCAUCUGCCUCUCCACCGUGCAGCCCACACCUCUCUUUCUGCCCAACACACAGGCACACCGAGGAUUUGAAAAGCUCACAUUUUGCCCUGGUUACAACUCCCCCUCUCCUCAUUAAAAAAAAGAAAAAAAAGAAAAGAAAAAGAAAAAGAAAAAGAAAAAAAAAAAAAAAUAAAAAAAAAAAAACCCGCUUUAUUGUGCGCAACAUCUGGAAAGCUCCCUUCUCCAUCUGCUAGGCCCUGACAGUGUUUUCAGCCGCAGAGCCAACCUCUCCCCCUGCAGCCUGUGUCCUGGAGCUGGGGGUUGGGGGGAGGCCAGGCGGUGGAGGAGGCCCUGGCAGGGAGGAGGUGGGUCAGGGGAGCAGGCCUGCCCUUGGCCUGCGAGGUGCAGGGGCUCUCGGAACCCAGAGCUGGCCCCCGGGCCUGGGUUCUGGGGCCUGGGCUUCGUGGUGCUCCGGGUUCAAGGGAGGCAGCUGGUGGCUCCUCCAGCCUGUAGGGACAGGAAGCCAUGGCUGCAGGUUCUCGUGUUCCUGGGAAUGCUUGGUCAGGCCCUCCCGCCAGAGCUGGGAAGGACAGUCAGCUUCUAGACCCCAGUGCAUAUGCUUCUGAUGAGGUUUGAAACGAGCCUGUCUUGGGUUUGGUUUCAAAAUACCCCUGCCUUGGGUUUUUUUUGUUUGUUUGUUUCUUCUAUCUUAUUUAUACACACGCUUCAGCUAGCAUUCUGGGGGGAAAAAAGCAGAGGUUUCGAAAAGUAAAGUGGUUUAUGUGCAAAGAUCAAAAUGUUUCUCAUACUUUCUCCCAAGGCCUGGGGCUCUCCUCUCCCAGCG